GAGACUCUGUGCGCGUGCAUAUCAAUAAGCGGAGGAAAAGAAACUAACAAGGAUUCCCUUAGUAACGGCGAGUGAAGCGGGAGGAGCUCAAAUUUGAAAUCUUCAAGGUUCUACCUUGACGAAUUGUAGUUUAAAGAAGUGUUUUCUGUUAGAUGAGUAGCAAAAGUUCCUUGGAAUGGGACAUCAUAGAGGGUGAGAAUCCCGUAUUUGGUUAUUCAUUCUAGCUUUGUGAUACACUUUCAAAGAGUCGGAUUGUUUGGGAAUGCAGUCCAAAAUGGGUGGUAAAUUUCAUCUAAAGCUAAAUAUUGGCGAGAGACCGAUAGCGAACAAGUACCGUGAGGGAAAGAUGAAAAGAACUUUGAAAAGAGAGUUAAACAGUACGUGAAAUUGUCAAAAGGGAAGCGUUUGACACCAGUGUUGUUUUUCCGAAAAUCAAUUAAGAAUGAGUUGAUUUUGUGUUGUAUUGACCUUAUCAGCUUUCUUCACUCUUUUCUUGCGUCUUUUUAAUGCACUUUUCGGUUAACAAGUCAACAUCAAUUUCUUUUGUUGUAAAAGAGUCAUUGGAAGGUGGCUUUCUCUUCGGAGAAAGUGUUUAUAGCCCUUAUACUCUACAAUCGGAGAGACUGAGGUCUGCAGCGUAGAUCCUUCGGGGUUAGAUACAUUUGUGCUAAGCUAGCAGCUUUUCAUAGACAACUUGUUGAUCUAUGUUUAGUCAUUGGGACUUACCCGCUUAGUGCUAUUUUACCUACGCUUAGGAUGUUGACUGAUAUGUAGUCGUA
This 779-nucleotide ribosomal RNA is filed under the name uncultured Neocallimastigales. RNAcentral describes it as "partial large subunit ribosomal RNA". It matches the Rfam family "Eukaryotic large subunit ribosomal RNA", at positions 23 to 644 of the family's 3401-position model. The record is from RNAcentral. Lineage: Eukaryota; Fungi; Neocallimastigomycota; Neocallimastigomycetes; Neocallimastigales.